Molecule: ribosomal RNA, 342 nt
Filed under: uncultured bacterium
Lineage: Bacteria
Description: bacterial SSU rRNA
Rfam family: Bacterial small subunit ribosomal RNA
Source: RNAcentral
AGUGAAUAGAUACCCAGGUAGUCCACGCCGUAAACGAUGAUCGCUAGCUGUUGGCGAUACACAGUCAGCGGCAAAGCAAAAGCAUUAAGUGAUCCACCUGGGGAGUACGGCCGCAAGGCUGAAACUCAAAGGAAUUGACGGGGCCGGCCACAAGCGGAGGAAACGAAUGUGGUUUAAUUUACGAUGAUACGCGAGGAACCGUUAACCCUGGGCGUUAAACUAGUAGAGUGCAUUUCCGUACGAAAUACGGGUAGUUCCCUUCCGGGGUCGUCUCUGCAAGGUGCUGCAUGGUUGUCGUCAGCUCGUGCCGUGAGGUGUCGGGUUAAGUCCCAUAACGAGCGC